This 21-nucleotide microRNA is filed under the name Oryza sativa (Asian cultivated rice). RNAcentral's name for it is "osa-miR5337a". Lineage: Eukaryota; Viridiplantae; Streptophyta; Magnoliopsida; Poales; Poaceae. The record is from miRBase by way of RNAcentral. RNAcentral also lists the same sequence under 1 other name.
AAAUUACUUGUCGUUCUAGCU